ACACAGAGCGUUAUACUGAUGGUUUAACAGGAGAAAUACACAAUAAUCACACAUGUGCACUUUGGUGACUUCCUCAUUUUAAAGUUAAUUCUUGCAGGCUGUUUGAAAAAGCAGCACAACUGUGAAGGAACUUCACUUCUCCAUACGUCGUUGAUCUGUCUGCUCAGAUGACCUGAAGAAAAUAGUUUCUGCCUCUCCUGACACACAAAGAUGGCUGCAGCUCUGACUCUCCUUCUCAUUGGCUGUCUGCUGCAGAGUGUCCACUGUGGAGAGUUUAAGGUCACUAUACCGCAGACUAUAGAGGUUCUCAGGGGAUCCUGUGUGACCAUCCCCUGCUCCUUUGAUAUAAAGGACGGAUUUGGAUCAGACUUAGAUGGAACCUGUAAAGCAAUGUGG
Long non-coding RNA from Dicentrarchus labrax (European seabass), 396 nucleotides. RefSeq lists it as uncharacterized. The transcript is spliced from 3 exons. The record is from RefSeq and is a predicted model, not a curated record. NCBI's taxonomy places the organism in Eukaryota, Metazoa, Chordata, Actinopteri, Moronidae.